AUUGAACGCUGGCGGCAUGCCUUACACAUGCAAGUCGAACGGCAGCGCGGGGCAACCUGGCGGCGAGUGGCGAACGGGUGAGUAAUAUAUCGGAACAUACCCUAGAGUGGGGAUAACGUAGCGAAAGUUACGCUAAUACCGCAUACGCACUAAGGUGGAAAGUGGGGGAUCUUCGGACCUCAUGCUCAUGGAGUGGCCGAUAUCUGAUUAGCUAGUUGGUGAGGUAAAGGCUCACCAAGGCGACGAUCAGUAGCUGGUUUGAGAGAACGACCAGCCACACUGGAACUGAGACACGGUCCAGACUCCUACGGGAGGCAGCAGUGGGGAAUUUUGGACAAUGGGGGCAACCCUGAUCCAGUAAUGCCGCGUGAGUGAAGAAGGCCUUC
This 386-nucleotide ribosomal RNA is filed under the name uncultured bacterium. RNAcentral's name for it is "bacterial SSU rRNA". It matches the Rfam family "Bacterial small subunit ribosomal RNA", at positions 30 to 419 of the family's 1533-position model. The record is from RNAcentral.